AGAUAGAGGAGUGCUCGAAGAGAGCCGUAACACAGGUGCUGCAUGGCUGUCGUCAGCUCGUGUCGUGAGAUGUUGGGUUAAGUCCCGCAACGAGCGCAACCCUUGUCAUUAGUUGCUACAUUCAGUUGGGCACUCUAAUGAGACUGCCGGUGACAAACCGGAGGAAGGUGGGGAUGACGUCAAGUCCUCAUGGCCCUUAUAGGUGGGGCUACACACGUCAUACAAUGGAUGGUACAAAGGGUCGCCAACCCGCGAGGGGGAGCCAAUCCCAUAAAGCCAUUCGUAGUCCGGAUCGCAGUCUGCAACUCGACUGCGUGAAGUCGGAAUCGCUAGUAAUCGUGGAUCAGAAUGUCACGGUGAAUACGUUCCCGGGUCUU
This 377-nucleotide ribosomal RNA is filed under the name uncultured Acidovorax sp. Its description in RNAcentral is "bacterial SSU rRNA". It matches the Rfam family "Bacterial small subunit ribosomal RNA", at positions 1004 to 1382 of the family's 1533-position model. Lineage: Bacteria; Pseudomonadati; Pseudomonadota; Betaproteobacteria; Burkholderiales; Comamonadaceae. The record is from RNAcentral.